Molecule: transfer RNA, 73 nt
Filed under: Candidatus Pacearchaeota archaeon
Lineage: Archaea; Nanobdellati
Description: tRNA-Glu
Rfam family: tRNA
About the family: Transfer RNA (tRNA) molecules are approximately 80 nucleotides in length. Their secondary structure includes four short double-helical elements and three loops (D, anti-codon, and T loops).
Source: RNAcentral
GCUCCCGUGGUGUAGAGGCCAAGCAUGCGAGCCUCUCGCGCUCGCGACACGAGUUCGAAUCUCGUCGGGAGCA